This 594-nucleotide ribosomal RNA is filed under the name uncultured Bacteroidota bacterium. RNAcentral describes it as "bacterial SSU rRNA". It matches the Rfam family "Bacterial small subunit ribosomal RNA", at positions 122 to 715 of the family's 1533-position model. Lineage: Bacteria; Pseudomonadati; Bacteroidota. The record is from RNAcentral.
CAACCUGCCGAUGACUCGGGGAUAGCCUUUCGAAAGAAAGAUUAAUACCCGAUGGCAUAGUUCUACCGCAUGGUAGAACUAUUAAAGAAUUUCGGUCAUCGAUGGGGAUGCGUCCCAUUAGGUUGUUGGCGGGGUAACGGCCCACCAAGCCUUCGAUGGAUAGGGGUUCUGAGAGGAAGGUCCCCCACAUUGGAACUGAGACACGGUCCAAACUCCUACGGGAGGCAGCAGUGAGGAAUAUUGGUCAAUGGACGAGAGUCUGAACCAGCCAAGUAGCGUGAAGGAUGACUGCCCUAUGGGUUGUAAACUUCUUUUAUACGGGAAUAAAGUGAGGCACGUGUGCCUUUUUGUAUGUACCGUAUGAAUAAGGAUCGGCUAACUCCGUGCCAGCAGCCGCGGUAAUACGGAGGAUCCGAGCGUUAUCCGGAUUUAUUGGGUUUAAAGGGAGCGUAGGCGGACACUUAAGUCAGUUGUGAAAGUUUGCGGCUCAACCGUAAAAUUGCAGUUGAUACUGGGUGUCUUGAGUACAGUAGAGGCAGGCGGAAUUCGUGGUGUAGCGGUGAAAUGCUUAGAUAUCACGAAGAACUCCGAUUG